GUUCAAAGCAMCAUUCGCUCGAAUACAUUAGCAUAGAAUAAUAGAAUAGGACGUGCGGUUCUAUUUUGUUGGUUUCUAGGACCGCCGUAAUGAUUAAUAGGGAUAGUCGGGGGCGUCAGUAUUCAGCUGUCAGAGGUGAAAUUCUUGGAUUUGCUGAAGACUAACUACUGCGAAAGCAUUCGCCAAGGAUGUUUUCAUUAAUCAGGGAACGAAAGUUAGGGGAUCGAAGACGAUCAGAUACCGUCGUAGUCUUAACCAUAAACUAUGCCGACUAGGGAUCGGGCGGUGUUUCUAUGAUGACCCGCUCGGCACCUUACGAGAAAUCAAAGUUUUUGGGUUCUGGGGGGAGUAUGGUCGCAAGGCUGAAACUAAAGAAAUGACGKGAGAACGKGUGCGGCCU
RNAcentral lists this ribosomal RNA (400 nucleotides) under uncultured eukaryote. RNAcentral describes it as "SSU rRNA". It matches the Rfam family "Eukaryotic small subunit ribosomal RNA", at positions 784 to 1195 of the family's 1831-position model. The record is from RNAcentral.